AGAAUCAACGCUGGCGGCGUGCCUAACACAUGCAAGUCGAACGAGAAAGUGGAGCAAUCCAUGAGUAAAGUGGCGCACGGGUGAGUAACACGUGACUAACCUACCCUUGAGUGGGGGAUAACCUAGGGAAACCUGGGCUAAUACCGCAUAAUACCGAGAGGUCAAAGGAGCAAUUCGCUUAAGGAGGGGGUCGCGGCCGAUUAGUUAGUUGGCGGGGUAAUGGCCCACCAAGACUAUGAUCGGUAUCCGGCCUGAGAGGGCGCACGGACACACUGGAACUGAAACACGGUCCAGACUCCUACGGGAGGCAGCAGUGGGGAAUUUUGCGCAAUGGGGGAAACCCUGACGCAGCAACGCCGCGUGGAGGAUGAAGUCCCUUGGGACGUAAACUCCUUUCGAUCGGGACGAUUAUGACGGUACCGAGAGAAGAAGCCCCGGCUAACUUCGUGCCAGCAGCCGC
RNAcentral lists this ribosomal RNA (460 nucleotides) under uncultured bacterium. RNAcentral describes it as "SSU rRNA". It matches the Rfam family "Bacterial small subunit ribosomal RNA", at positions 26 to 518 of the family's 1533-position model. The record is from RNAcentral.